This is a non-coding RNA of Osmia lignaria (orchard mason bee), 5456 nucleotides long. Lineage: Eukaryota; Metazoa; Arthropoda; Insecta; Hymenoptera; Megachilidae. The record is from RefSeq and is a predicted model, not a curated record.
GCGAGCGUCGAGUCUGUUGCCGCGUGAUCCACGUCGAUAACAAUAAUCUCGGAUUAUCGUCGACAGAACGCCAUCGGCGCUAAUCGGCUGCGUACACGUAGCGAGAGUUUAAAACCGCCAUGCAGAGGAUUAUGCAUCAUUUCUGGCUCUGUUCCCCGGAUUCGAUCCUCUUUUGCCCUGAUUUCACUUUGUUCCAGGUCAAACCUAUCGAACGACAUCGGGUCAAGGUCGAGCCACGAAAGAGUUCUCUUUCGCUGCGACAUUAUAUUUCGCGACGAUUAGAUUCCCUUUUCCAAGGCAGCGAAUAAAGUUUAUCUUUAACUCGAAAUUGCGGUCCCUCGUCAUCGAUUCCGCGAAUCGUGUUUUCGCCAAAGGAAGGCAACAACGAUCGCAUUCAUCGUAUCAAACGCACAGUGUCACUAUGGUUCACCGCAACGAUCGGUAGAAAGUGAUUCCGUUGAAAAUCGUCAACCGUUCAUUGAGCGUCGAGGCCAUUCUUUAACGCGUCGAUUCAUUCCGAGCCCGUUCACAAUUCGCUGGUACUACACCUUUAGAAUCGUCGUAGGUGCUCGUUUCAAAGAUCAUUUUACGGAAUUCAGGUGAACUCGGGCACAGGAGCGUCGAGUUGUAUUUCCGCUCCAUGCUCCGAGGAUUAAAUGCAAUUUGUAGGAAAUCUGGUAUAAAUCUGACACACCGUUUCGUUCCUCUGUUUGAAAAAAAAAAAAAAAAAAAUAAUAUAUAGAAAACCGCGAUCGCGAUCGAAAAGGACGAUAACGUGGCUCGAAUUCAGACCGGAACACGAUUAGUCGCGUUUGAUUGACAGUCGAUGGCGAACCGGUUUUCGAUAAAGUCGCUAAUGAAAUUUCCUUUGAACUUUGUUAACCGCUUGGCCAACAGAGAACACGCGUUAUGAUUUAUACAGUGGCCCUGUUUUUGCCCGGUACAUAUUCGCUGCGACAUUAGUUAGCAAAGCGUAGAGAGGUGACGUUGCGCAAGCGUCAAUUAAGAGGCUCGAUGGUUGGAGAGCGAUAAGCGGUGGAUAGAUCGAUCGCACGAUUUCUGCACUUGCAUGUUCCGCUUUAUUCGUAUUUAUAACGUUGCCCGUUCAUUGUCGAGAACAAUGGGCUUACCGGUUGGUCGUAGAUGAAGGAUCGAAAGGAUCGUGGCUCGGGACACUUUGCGGUUCACUGAACGUCGCGCUUCGUCUUUGUCGCGUUCGGUAGCGAGGAACGUAGGAUAAAGAAGAAGGAAAUAUCAUUUCGACGAUGAAAGUGUAGAGGGGAACAAAUCGUUUCGUUGUUGCACCGAUUUUUCGGAGUAAUCUCGGUGUAAUUGCGUCCACGAUCGGUAGAACGAGAACCGAGCGAAACGGUUUUGCUUGUCGGACAGUUAAAUGGCUCGGGUAAUUUGAAAUGAAACGUUUGCCAGAGGUGAAAUUACGGAAUCGAGUUGCAUAAUUCUGCCUCGUUAGAAACGAUAUCGUCAGGUGUUCAGGAAAUUGAAGCAUUGAACCUACUUUCAGAAUUUUUCUACGCCAAUUACAGCCAGUUAGAGAAUAUAAGCAUUACUAUGCAGCUAUUCGAGACUCGAAACGACUAAAGAAUUUCUUUCAGUCUCUUUUCAAAUGAGCUUUAACUAAAAUACAAAAAAAAAAGGACCUGCACACUAUUUUAUCGCUCAUCAAGAUAUUUCAACGAAUAUGGGGCUCUUGCAAUUUCCAAUACCGCUUCGAGUACAAUAGGACCUCCAUUACCCCGCAUUAACCCAUUUUCCUUCCAUCCUUCUCGUUCGAUGACAUUGCAUUUGACAUUUUUUUCCUCGCGUUCAUUUCCGACUGGCGCACUGGCUUCUUAUAGUUCACGCGUGUAUCUCUAUCGAAACGAGCGACUUUUUAAAUUCCAACAGAUUCGAUUCGCCUCGAUUUGCUCGCGACUCCAUUUAUCCGUCGAUAAAAACGUCCAAGGUAAAUAACAACCCGAUAGAUCGGAGGACUUAAUCGGUCCGGCAAGAAUGGACAGGUGGAUGUUGGGAAAUCGCCAACGACAAAAAGUGUUUAUCGCGACCAGGGGGUCGAGGGGACGUUUAUAUCGACAACGCGAUACUUCUCGCCGGGACCAUUAGUGGGCAAGGUCGGAACGGCGCAAACACUCGUCGAUAGCAAGAAAGCUCGCGAAACGGUAUAAUAGCGAUCGAGAAAGGAGGAUGAUGGAAAAAAGCGUUGUACGAAUGGGAAGGGUGGAGCAAGGAUGGCGAGGGUGCGCUACGUCAAACUAAAGCGAAGGAUGAGAGCGUUCGGUCAAGAUAGGUGGGAGGGAAAAAAAAAGAGGAAAGAGGGUUAUUUGCUGGAUGCCGGUGCAACACCACCGAGCCGAUAUUAAACCCACAUGAUUUACAAGCGUGAAAUUUGAUUCGCUGGCGAGGAAACAACAGGCAAUAAUCAAUUUCUCGGGCCAACAAAAGAUAUGGCGUUUCAUUAUAAAUUAUUGGCAGCCCGUAACCCAAGGCGGAUACAACGCGGAUCCGGCAGAAAUGUUCCUCCCGAUCCGCUUGCCGAACAUGAAUUGUGAUAUUCGCGAUGGAAACCGCUCCUCGCGUGCGAUCCGUUCCCUGCUACUUACGUCAAUCCUCCUGCCAAAUCGAUUUCUUUACCAAUCUAUUCGACGAUAACAGAAUUUUUUCAUUAAAUUAAUACCGCAACGACGCUCGCGUCUUCGCUAGAAUCAUUGAUUCUAGUUAAACUGUGUCGCCGUAAAAGAAGGAAAGAAACGUCGAAAGCUUGUAUGUAGACGCAGAUAAAAUGAAGAGAGGACAAAAAGGGGCAUAGUUCGGUCCUCGAAGGUUGUCGGAAACACCUUUAUAAGUGGGACUUUACACCGGGCCACUAAAGAUAAGCCGAGAACCCGGUCGAUGAUGUAUGUUUGAGAAAUGCAAGCGGAGAGGAAUUAAGAUUUACAACGAACCGUAUAACCAUUGUAGCUGUUUCGGUCUCCCUUUCGAACACGCGCUUCAACUAGGCUGACAAGAAUUUUAAGGAGAGAUCCCAUUCGACUUGCUCGGAACAUAAUAAAGCUCGUUUGCCCGUCGCGGUCGUAAAUAUUUAUCGGUGGGGAAAAGAGUUACACAACGGGGAGAAAACGGUUUUAUUUACUCUGUGGCAGCGCCAAGUUGCAAACGCGCCACGAUUUACGGCCGUUCGCCACGAUAAUUCCUCCCCAACUAUACCUUCUGACGAGCGCGAGAGAUUUCGCUAACUAUUAUGCCACCCGUCGACCAUAACGCACGCUUUUCUCCCUUGCAGAAUCCUGCAACUUCUUCACGGGCAAUCUCUUCGACGCACUUUUGUUAAUAUCGAACUUUUUCAUCCCUCCUCGAUCUUUUAUAGCCACCAAUUUAUAUCCGAAAAGCAAUAACAUCGUUGGAAGUGAAUUUUUCUACGGUAUCCACGAUAAUUUUCAUCCCCUUCGACUUCUCUUAAACAUCUCGCUCGAUUAGCUUGUUAGAGCGAAAAGUUGAGGCAAGUUCCUCGAAUCGGCGCGGCGAGAGGAAACGAAAAGCAGGGCGAUCGUAUCGGCGAUAAUCGGCGGAGGAAAAUGCGAGGGAAACAAGGGGCGUGACGGUGUAAGCGUGCCAAGGUGAUUCUCAUUCCGUCCCGGGUUUCGCGUAUGCGUCAGAAGAGAGACGAAAUGGAAAUGGAUGGAGAACGCGGAGGUAUAUCGCAGGUAGAAGGUAGACGAGAGGGCCAGGGGAUCGUGUCAGAGCAGGCUCGUUAAACGGGCUAAAGCGUUUACAGUGGCUGUGUUUCACCGGCCAGCAAUGUGAAACAGUUACACAAUUAUCGAAAAACCAUUAGGCCGGCAUUGGCCGGUGACGGGGUGGCUCGUACGAGCGAGAUGGUUCGAAGCUGAUGCACCCGGAUUAGAGAAAGAUGCUACCAUUUCCAUCGGCGUUCUGAAAAGUUUUCAACGAAGACGAAGAAAUCGAGGCGGUCCGUUUAAAAGCCGAGGCAGGCGAAGUUGCGACAGCUUAGCGGGCCGAUUAAAAGCGCGUUUAAUGGAGCUAAAAAAGAGGCGAAAUAGAAACGUUCGAUCAAGCGGAGGGACAAGUUGCUAAUUGGCGCCGGCUGAAGCAUACGAGAACAAAAUCUCGAAUUUUUCUUUCUAAUGCUAUUUAGAAGGCUGUUCUAAAACUCUGACCGUUGCAUCUCGAGGUCGAAGAAAAACGCGGCGGCCUGUAAUUAGAAAUACAGGCCAGAAUGGGUGGAGAAGUGGAGGAGGCAUCGAAGGUCCGAGCCAGCUGGAGGAAUGACAGCGGUUUCAGGAAGAAUAAACGAGGCGUGGCACCGCCUCCACCAUAUAUUUCUUUUUCUAGGACUUCUAGGGGAAUCUACACGAAUAUAGACGUUCUCGUAUUGUUAGGCAAAUUUAUAAGAUCCUUGUUCGACGGCAAAGAAACAAGCGGUGUAGACGAGGAAGCUAGAGCGAGGCGAACGCAGGGAUAUGUAGACAGGAAAAAGAAAAAGAAAAAGAAAAAGAAAAAGAAAAAACAUAGUAAAUCAUCGUGGCUCGUUUCGCGAAGACUUUACGAGCGGCUGGCUGUCGGCGUUCGAUAAUGAAAAUACCUGUAUAUUUAUCGUUGCACGUCGAUUCGUGCGCAACAUUGAGCCUUUUGUUGAAUCCAAGUAUCGUAGCGUGAAAUAUAAUUGAUUUACUUCUUACGAAGUUUUCUUUCAUUUUCUUAAUACUUUGACGGAUGCCUUGGAACUCAAAGGAAAGUGAUAUCAAUAAUUAAUUAGCAAGAAACUUUGCGUUACAAAUUCAUCAAAGAUUCCACCAGAUUUUCGAGGGUUCCUUUCGUUCGGGAAAGUUAUUUUCCAACUUCCUAUUGACCAAAAGUUUGGUCCAACUUGUUAUCGCGACAGAUAAAAAGGGUAGCCGCUAACGAAGUCGCGGGGUUAUUAAUGUACGUAAAGAGAGAUAGGUGGAUCGGUAUCGAUGGCUUAGCAGCUAGAUAAAAUUCGUUCCAAGGACCGGGGGGGGCAAUUUUUCUUAAAGGCUUCGAUUUAUCUUCGCCAUUGAACACGAGCAGCCGUGAAUGCCAAAGAGAUAUCAAAGGGGAAACACGAAUCACGCGGAUGAAUGGGAACGAUCGCGAUCGCGAUCCAUGAAUCGUUGUGUUCUCGCUUAGAUACGUCCGUACGGAUUUCUUCCUCCGCUAAUAUUUUUUGCUCAAUGUUUCGCUCGAAACUUAUAUUCGUUUCUCAAUAAAAAAGAAAGAAAAAAAAAAAGAAUAAUUUGUAUAUUUAUUAAACGAUCCUCGAUUAAGAUCCUUGUCCGUCCGACCGAUUUACGAGUGUUCUCUGGCAAGCAAUUCAUAGAACGAUUUAAUCGGUGAAAAACGCAGGGUGCAAGCAGGGACGGUAGCAGUUCCAGUGACUGGUAACAAGAGUUUAACAACGA